CCCCAGCGCCACAAGUGGGAACCACGCUUAUUGGGUCUAAAGCAUCCGUAGCCGGUUCUGCAAAUGCCCUGUGAAAUCGUUGCGCUCAACGUAACGACGUGCAGGGUAGACUACAGAACUAGGGACCAGAGGAAGUAGACGGUAUUCCUGAGGGAGCGGUAAAAUGUGAUAAUCUCAGGAGGACCACCGAUGGCGAAGGCAGUCUACUAAUAUGGAUCCGACGGUGAGGGAUGAAAGCUAGGGGAGCGAUCCG
Molecule: ribosomal RNA, 253 nt
Filed under: uncultured archaeon
Lineage: Archaea
Description: partial 16S ribosomal RNA
Rfam family: Archaeal small subunit ribosomal RNA
Source: RNAcentral